RNAcentral lists this long non-coding RNA (1131 nucleotides) under Homo sapiens (human). RNAcentral describes it as "ZNF213 antisense RNA 1 (ZNF213-AS1)". The record is from RNAcentral. Lineage: Eukaryota; Metazoa; Chordata; Mammalia; Primates; Hominidae.
GCGUCAUACACCUGCACCCGGGAGGAAAGGCGAGGCUCUGCAUCUAGAUUUACCUCGUUCUCUUUUGUCUCCGCUUUUUUUUCACAUUUCCUUGCGACCCUGGCCCUUGAGCGACAAAAAGGGGAAGCCAAGGCUGGCCCGAGGAACGGAGAGGGCACAUGGCCUAGCCACAAGUGGAGCUUCUGCUCCGCCCGAAGGGAUGCGCUGGAGCGGCCUCUUCCUUCUGCCACGGUCUUUCUUUGCCAACUAGUAGAGAUGGGGUUUCACCAGGUUAGCCAGGCUGGUCUUGAACUCCAGACCUCAAGGGAUCCGCCUGCCUCAGCUUUCCAAAGUGCUGGGAUUACAGGUGGAGACUGGACCUCAGAAGAGGGAGUGGGUGCCCCGAGAACUCACAGCUAGCGGACAGUGGAAAGGGCAGGAGCCGGACCAAGGCUCCGGCAUGACGGGUGACUUCUUCCGAGUCUGGCUUCUGCAGCACACAGGGCUUCGCCAGCACCCAGCUCCUGCAGCAUGGGCAGCUCCUGUGACAGCAGGCGCCCGCAGCCUGCAAAGCGUCUCCAGUGCCGCCGCCUCAGUGAACCUCAACCAGCGGCACCUAGCAGCUUUCUCUGCCACCCUCUUCAGGUCUGGAUCUAAGCCCAGGGACCAGGAAACCUCUUGCUUGAGUGCUGGAACUCAGGCCAGAAGGCAGGAAGCCCGCCUGACCCCAUGUCUCAGGCUGCCAGAGGAGCGUGCGAUGAGGAAGGCUGGACUGUCUUCACAGGACACCAGGGAGAAGCCUCAAGCCACUGCCCCCUGACAAGUCGCAGCUCUCCAGCCUGUCUCCUCACUCCCCUCCCCUCCACAUGGGGGGGUUGGGGUGGGGGCGGGGAAGGUUCGGGGCAGGGGUCAUUUCAGCUACUGGGCACCAGUCUCCUCCUCAUGUUUAUCCUGUUCCCUUUGCUUGAAAGGUUCGUACUCCAGAUCCUUGUAAAACCGCUUCUCACCCUUUGAGUCUCAGCUUAAAUGUCCCCUCCUUGGAGGGGUCUUCCCUGACAAUGAAGCUCCGACCGUCCUCUCCUGUUUUACCCAGUUCAUUUCUUUCUGGCAUUUGUAACUACUUGAAGUUAAAGUGUGUGCCAUGUAAAAAAA